Molecule: non-coding RNA, 197 nt
Organism: Oryza meridionalis
Lineage: Eukaryota; Viridiplantae; Streptophyta; Magnoliopsida; Poales; Poaceae
Source: Rfam
AACUGGAGGGAUUAUAUGUUUAUGUGUGCAAUGUUUGACCGUCCGUCUUAUUUGCUCUUUUUAUGAAUUACUAGUAUUUUUGUUGUUAUUAGAUGAUAAGAUAUAAAUAGUACUUUAUGCAUGACUUGUUUUUUAAAAAUUUUCAGAUAAGACGGAUGGUCAAAAGUUAGAUAUAGAAACCCACCAAUAAACUUAUU